AUACGGAGGGUGCAAGCGUUACUCGGAAUCACUGGGCGUAAAGCGCGCGCAGGCGGUCUUUUAAGUUGGAUGUGAAAGCCUACGGCUCAACCGUAGAACUGCAUCCAAAACUAUUAGACUAGAGUGUGGGAGAGGAAGAUGGAAUUAGUUGUGUAGGGGUAAAAUCCGUAGAGAUAACUAGGAAUACCAAAAGCGAAGGCAAUCUUCUGGAACACUACUGACGCUGAGGCGCGAAAGUGUGGGGAGCAAACAGGAUUAGAAACCCUAGUAGUCC
Molecule: ribosomal RNA, 274 nt
Filed under: uncultured bacterium
Lineage: Bacteria
Description: partial 16S ribosomal RNA
Rfam family: Bacterial small subunit ribosomal RNA
Source: RNAcentral